CGGGUCCAUUUGGGUUUGGGUCA
Molecule: non-coding RNA, 23 nt
Filed under: Arabidopsis thaliana (thale cress)
Lineage: Eukaryota; Viridiplantae; Streptophyta; Magnoliopsida; Brassicales; Brassicaceae
Source: RNAcentral